UUAACCUCAAAUCAGGUAGGACUACCCGCUGAACUUAAGCAUAUCAAUAAGCGGAGGAAAAGAAACUAACAAGGAUUCCCCUAGUAACUGCGAGUGAAGCGGGAAAAGCUCAAAUUUAAAAUCUGGCGGUUUUGCCGUCCGAGUUGUAAUUUAGAGAAGUGUUACCCGUGUUGGACCGUACACAAGUACCCUGGAAUGGGUCGUCAUAGAGGGUGAGAAUCCCGUAUAUGGUAUGGACUCCCAAUGCAUUGUGGUGCGCUCUCGAAGAGUCGAGUUGUUUGGGAAUGCAGCUCAAAAUGGGUGGUAAAUUCCAUCUAAAGCUAAAUAUUGGGGAGAGACCGAUAGCGAACAAGUACCGUGAGGGAAAGAUGAAAAGAACUUUGGAAAGAGAGUUAAACAGUACGUGAAAUUGCUGAAAGGGAAACGCUUGAAGUCAGUCGCGUUGUGCGGGAUUCAGCCUUGCUUUUUUGCUUGGUUUACUUCCUGUACGACGGGUCAACAUCAGUUUUGACCGGUGGAUAAGGAUGUAGGGAAUGUGGCAUCUUCGGAUGUGUUAUAGCCCUGCGUCGUAUACAUCGGUUGGGACUGAGGAACUCAGCACGCCGAAAGGCCGGGUUUUUUAACCACGUUCGUGCUUAGGAUGUUGGCAUAAUGGCUUUAAUCGACCCGUC
This 671-nucleotide ribosomal RNA is filed under the name Hemimycena sp. MLB-2010. RNAcentral describes it as "eukaryotic LSU rRNA". It matches the Rfam family "Eukaryotic large subunit ribosomal RNA", at positions 1 to 653 of the family's 3401-position model. Lineage: Eukaryota; Fungi; Basidiomycota; Agaricomycetes; Agaricales; Mycenaceae. The record is from RNAcentral.